AGCGGUUACCGCAAUUGUCAUGUG
This 24-nucleotide non-coding RNA is filed under the name Arabidopsis thaliana (thale cress). The record is from RNAcentral. Lineage: Eukaryota; Viridiplantae; Streptophyta; Magnoliopsida; Brassicales; Brassicaceae.